GCAAAUCUUAUUGAGAAUAUAAAUGAUCAAAACUGGACAUUACAAGCUGAGGAAAAGAAAAGAACUCGAGCCCCAAGAUCCUUGAUUCAUGCUUUAUCAUUUCACAAAAGUGGUUGCAAAACCAUACUGAUAGCUAGCGACUGACUUUAGAAGCUAUGAUGUGGAAGGUUAUGAAACAACUACCAGAUGUUGAAGAUUGUGGAAGAUUGGUAAAAGUAAAAUGCUUUCACGUCUCGUUAUUAAGUUAUUGUAAUUCACACUUUGUGGUGACUAUAUUGUUAUUUGAAUUUGGACAAGUGUAUUCAAGUCAACAUAUGACUAUUAAUGAUAGUGUUAUUAUUGUUUU
Helianthus annuus (common sunflower) is the source of this 346-nucleotide long non-coding RNA. RefSeq lists it as uncharacterized. Lineage: Eukaryota; Viridiplantae; Streptophyta; Magnoliopsida; Asterales; Asteraceae. The transcript has 2 exons. The record is from RefSeq and is a predicted model, not a curated record.